RNAcentral lists this ribosomal RNA (301 nucleotides) under uncultured bacterium. Its description in RNAcentral is "partial 16S ribosomal RNA". It matches the Rfam family "Bacterial small subunit ribosomal RNA", at positions 509 to 807 of the family's 1533-position model. The record is from RNAcentral.
CAGUCGCCGCGGGAAUACGAAGGUCCCGAGCGUUGUUCGGAAUCACUGGGCGUAAAGGGAGCGUAGGCGGCGUGGUAAGUCAGAUGUGAAAUCCCGGGGCUCAACCCCGGAACUGCAUCCGAUACUGCCGUGCUAGAGGAUUGGAGAGGUAGCUGGAAUUCUUGGUGUAGCAGUGAAAUGCGUGGAGAUCAAGAGGAACACUCGUGGCGAAAGCGAGCUACUGGACAAUAUCUGACGCUGAGGCUCGAAGGCCAGGGUAGCGAAAGGGAUUAGAUACCCGUGUAGUCCCUGUCUCUUAUAC